RNAcentral lists this unclassified non-coding RNA (554 nucleotides) under Loranthus pseudo-odoratus. Its description in RNAcentral is "partial external transcribed spacer". Lineage: Eukaryota; Viridiplantae; Streptophyta; Magnoliopsida; Santalales; Loranthaceae. The record is from RNAcentral.
UGGCGUCCAGCUUGGCUGGCGGCGUCCCGUGCUUGGCACAGUCGUGGCGGUGCUUUGUCCUUCGACAUAGCAUCGAGCGUCUGGUUGGGCACGGGCGCUGCCAUGCCCAAGUGAAGGCGUGUGAGUGGUGUUGGGAUCGGGUGGCCGCGCAGGCUCCCUGCUGCUGCAGCGAACUGUGCGACCCCGAUCCUCCUCAUUGGUGUUGCCUCGAUUGACCCUGCGUGCGAGGUGCGGAUAUGGUUCUUGUGUUGCUUACCGAUUUCGGCGGAAUUGCGUCCCUAGUUGAUUCCCGGUCCGUUUAUUGCACCGGCGGUGCGAUGCGGCGUGAAAGGGGCCCCUCAUUGUCCCCCCGUGGAUUUGCUGUGCGUGUCCUCGGGACGGGCAUGGGGGCGUCACCUAGUUCUCGUGGGUUCGGAAGAUCUAUGCGGGCGUCGGGCUUUGUCCUUCGUACGCCCGAUAAGUGUGUCCCAUACGAACGACUGUCGCUCCCGCUCGGGCCUUUCCCACCGGUAGGUGGCGAUGGCCUCGCGGGGGACGAUGUCGGUGAGGAAUGC